GACGGAGGAUGCAAGCGUUGCUCGGAAUCACUGGGCGUAAAGGGCGCGUAGGCGGCCUAGCAAGUCUGGUGUGAAAGCCCAGGGCUCAACCCUGGAAGGGCACUGGAAACUGUUAGGCUUGAGUUCCGGAGAGGAGGGGGGAAUUCCCGGUGUAGCGGUGAAAUGCGUAGAUAUCGGGAGGAAUACCGGUGGCGAAGGCGCCCCUCUGGACGGAAACUGACGCUGAGGCGCGAAAGCGUGGGGAGCAAACAGG
This 253-nucleotide ribosomal RNA is filed under the name uncultured bacterium. Its description in RNAcentral is "partial 16S ribosomal RNA". It matches the Rfam family "Bacterial small subunit ribosomal RNA", at positions 524 to 776 of the family's 1533-position model. The record is from RNAcentral.